CCUACGGGCGGCAGCAGUGGGGAAUAUUGGGCAAUGGGCGAAAGCCUUACCCAGCAAUACCGCGUGAGUGAAGAAGGUCUUCGGAUUGUAAACCUCUUUGAUCAGGGACGAACAGAUGACCGUACCUUAAGAACAAACCCCGGCUAACUACGGGCCAGCAGCCCCCGUCAAACGGAAGGGGCGAGCGUUGUCCGGAAUGACUGGGCGUAAAGGGUGCGUUAGCGGCAUAAUAAGUUAGAAGUGGAAUACCCAGAGCUUAACUCGAGUUCUGCUUCUAAAACUGUUGAGCUUGAGUGCGGGAGAGGUUAAUGGAAUUCCUAGUGUAGCGGUGGAAUGCGUAGAUAUUAGGAGGAACACCAGAGGCGAAGGCGAUUAACUGGACCGUAACUGACGCUGAGGCACGAAAGUGUGGGUAGCGAACAGGAUUAGAUACCCGUGUAGUC
RNAcentral lists this ribosomal RNA (443 nucleotides) under uncultured bacterium. RNAcentral's name for it is "partial 16S ribosomal RNA". It matches the Rfam family "Bacterial small subunit ribosomal RNA", at positions 338 to 795 of the family's 1533-position model. The record is from RNAcentral.